CUGGCUCAGGAUGAACGCUACCGGCAGGCCUAACACAUGCAAGUCGAGGGGUAACAUUGGUUGCUUGCAACCAGAUGACGACCGGCGCACGGGUGCGUAACGCGUAUGCAAUCUGCCUUGUACUGGGGGAUAGCCUUUGGAAACGAAGAUUAACACCCCAUAGCCUAUAGUUGUGGCAUCACAUUUAUAGUAAAGGUUACGGUACAAGAUGAGCAUGCGUCCUAUUAGCUUGUUGGUGUGGUAACGGCACACCAAGGCUACGAUAGGUAGGGGCCCUGAGAGGGGGAUCCCCCACACUGGUACUGAGACACGGACCAGACUCCUACGGGAGGCAGCAGUGAGGAAUAUUGGACAAUGGGGGCAACCCUGAUCCAGCCAUGCCGCGUGCAGGAAGACUGCCCUAUGGGUUGUAAACUGCUUUUGUACGGGAAGAAACACCCCCACGUGUGGGGGCUUGACGGUACCGUAAGAAUAAGGAUCGGCUAACUCCGUGCCAGCAGCCGCGGUAAUACGGAGGAUCCGAGCGUUAUCCGGAAUCAUUGGGUUUAAAGGGUCCGUAGGCGGGCCAUUAAGUCAGGGGUGAAAGUUUGCGGCUCAACCGUAAAAUUGCCUUUGAUACUGGUGGUCUUGAAUCGUUGUGAAGUGGCUAGAAUGUGUAGUGUAGCGGUGAAAUGCAUAGAUAUUACACAGAAUACCGAUUGCGAAGGCAGGUCACUAACAACGCAUUGACGCUGAGGGACGAAAGCGUGGGGAGCGAACAGGAUUAGAUACCCUGGUAGUCCUGGCUGUAAACGAUGAAUACUGGGUUGGGGGAGCAUGUCUCUCCCAGCCGUAGCGAAAGCGUUAAGUAUUCCGCCUGGGGAGUAUGGUCGCAAGGCUGAAACUCAAAGGAAUUGACGGGGGCUCACACAAGCGGUGGAGGAUGUGGCUUAAUUCGAGGCAACGCGAAGAACCUUAUCCCGGACUUGACAUCUAUGGAUUAGCAUUGUGAAAGCAGUGUGACGCCUUCGGGUGGAACAUAGACAGGUGCUGCAUGGCUGUCGUCA
RNAcentral lists this ribosomal RNA (1046 nucleotides) under Madagascaria erythrocladioides. RNAcentral describes it as "partial Bacterial small subunit ribosomal RNA". It matches the Rfam family "Bacterial small subunit ribosomal RNA", at positions 19 to 1057 of the family's 1533-position model. The record is from RNAcentral. Lineage: Eukaryota; Rhodophyta; Compsopogonophyceae; Erythropeltidales; Erythrotrichiaceae.